Molecule: ribosomal RNA, 332 nt
Filed under: uncultured soil bacterium
Lineage: Bacteria
Description: bacterial SSU rRNA
Rfam family: Bacterial small subunit ribosomal RNA
Source: RNAcentral
AGAUUGAACGCUGGCGGCAUGCCUUACACAUGCAAGUCGAACGGCAGCACGGGAGCAAUCCUGGUGGCGAGUGGCGAACGGGUGAGUAAUACAUCGGAACGUGCCCAGUAGUGGGGGAUAGCCCGGCGAAAGCCGGAUUAAUACCGCAUACGACCUAUGGUGAAAGGCGGGGAUCGCAAGACCUUGCGCUAGUUGGAGCGGCCGAUGUCAGGUUAGCUUAGUUGGUAGGGUAAAAGCCUACCAAGGCGACGAUCUGUAGCUAGGUCUAGAGAGGACGACCAGCCACACUGGGACUGAGACACGGCCCAGACCUCCGACGGGAGCAGCGAGGU